AGUAACACGUGGAUAACCUGCCUUAUACUGGGGGAGUAACAGCCAGAAAUGGCUGCUAAUACCGCAUAAGCGCACGGCGCCGCAUGGCGCAGUGUGAAAAACUCCGGUGGUAUAAGAUGGAUCCGCGCCUGAUUAGCUAGUUGGCGGGGGCAGCGGCCCACCAAGGCGACGAUCAGUAGCCGGCCUGAGAGGGCGACCGGCCACAUUGGGACUGAGACACGGCCCAAACUCCUACGGGAGGCAGCAG
This 247-nucleotide ribosomal RNA is filed under the name uncultured bacterium. Its description in RNAcentral is "partial 16S ribosomal RNA". It matches the Rfam family "Bacterial small subunit ribosomal RNA", at positions 109 to 354 of the family's 1533-position model. The record is from RNAcentral.